RNAcentral lists this long non-coding RNA (1967 nucleotides) under Homo sapiens (human). RNAcentral describes it as "HSALNT0216494". Lineage: Eukaryota; Metazoa; Chordata; Mammalia; Primates; Hominidae. The record is from RNAcentral.
UUUCCUUCAAGUACCUCACCCAGCAGCCAGGAAGAUUCCUCUUCAUGUCAAAUCGGUCUGAAGGGCACACUAGGCACGCGGUGGCCCUGACACUGCCCCUCCCUGGUCCUUUCCAACAGCACCGAGGACAUGGAGGUCGGCCCAGGCUCAGGAAUCACAGAGCUAACUGCUCAUUUCGGCAUCACAAGCACGAGCAGACGAAUUUCAGAGACAGAAGCCAACAUCCCCACCCCUCAUCUUCAGAGGCUCCAGCCUGCCUGGCCUCUGUGGCUGGGUGGCCAGCCAAGGGCUCUGGAAUUGGAGAGGCCUUGCUUCUCUACAGCAGGGUGUGACCCGCUCUGGCCUGCUGGCCCUCCUGCCCCAGGGACCGAGUAGGAGGCACUUUUGAUUCCACCCGGGCUCUCAGGGGGAUGAGGUGGCCUCAGGUGAGAGAUCCUGAUUGGCCACCCCAGAGCCCCGGUGGAAGGUGCAGCAGAGAGAAGGUCCUUUGGAUCCGAUAAGCAGAAGGAUUUUAAACACUCUCUGAAGCUGUCUGAAGAUCUGAGAUUUUUCCACUCAUUUAUUCAGCAAGUAUUCGCCGAAUGCCUAUUACAUGCCAGGAGCUAAGGACACUAUUUCCAAAGAACAGCUCAUCCAAAAGGCAUGUGAGUGCCCAUUACUGCCAGGACCUGAGGCUGCAUGGAUGAAGAGACAGAUCUUGCCUUGAAAGGCACUGUGGCCUGGCAUGGGAGAGACAGGUGAGCCACUGUGUUAGGAGAGCUAUUAAUAGGGUACAGGAACAGAAGAAACGCUCCACGGCCCAAGGGAUGGGCAGGGAGGGCUUCGGAUGAGAGCACCAGAACCCAGGGCCAUGAACAGCAAAGUCAUCUGAUGACCUUACUCUCCGCUCAGCACUCAGAACCACCCAGCUCCAUGUCCCAACACCCACAGAGGACUGAGGUGGGGCAGACACCAGUGUGAGAUGGAGACAGAAGGUGGGGAACUGGCAACAUUCAUCUGAAAAUGCAGCCACAGGGAAACGGCUCGAGACUGAAAGGGUUCUAACACACACUGAAAACCUACCAUUCGCUGUGACCGCAGCGGGGACCAGAGAUGGAGAGGCAGUGUGCGGCACUGAGUCCUUACCAAAUGGGGUCACAGACCCCUGGCAGCUCCGGAAAGACCAAAGAAUCCGAAGCGGGGAAAUAGCUUCACUUCACUUCAACCUUACUAUAGAAAGAUACAUUUUUGCAGUUGUAAUUCACAAGUGGAAGACGUACGGACAGAAUAAAGCACUCGUUUAAGACAGUCUUUCCACGAUGAGGGAUGCCGGUUCACUGACACAGUGACUUUGAGACAUAAUACUGGAGCUGAAUGUUUCACAUUAACCAGCUGAAUCCUUUAAACCUAAGUGCUAAGUACUGCCCACCUUUCAGAAGAAACUGAAGCUCAAGGGCUCAGCUUUGAAAGUGGCACAGCUCGCCGGUCACGGUGGCUCACACCUGUAAUCCUGGCACUUUGGGAGGCUGAGGUGGGCAGAUAACGAGGUCAAGAGAUGGAGACCCUCCUGGCAACAUGGUGAAACCGUGUCUCCACUAAAAAUAGAAAAAUCAGCUGGGCGUGGUGGCGCACGCCUGUAGUGCCAGCUACUUGGGAGGCCGAGGCAGGAGAAUUGCUUGAACCCAAGAGGCAGAGGUUGCAGUGAGCCGAGAUUGUGCCAUUGCACUCCAGCUUGGGCGACAGAAAAAAAAAAAGAGAGAGAAAGUGGCACAGCUGAGAUGUGAACCUAGCAGUCUGGGCCCCAGCCUGCUUUUAGCCACUUGGCCAGCAUUCCCUGAGGUGGGAGCUUUCAGAAAUCCUGAUGUCCAGACUGUACCCUAUCCCGAUGAAACCAGAAUCGCUGGGGUGGGCCCCAAGCACCAGCCAUUUCUUCAACUCUCCAGGCUGACUGGCUUUCCUGUGUGGAUAAAGUGUGAUCUGAAAGCAAC